Molecule: small RNA, 554 nt
Filed under: Pongo abelii (Sumatran orangutan)
Lineage: Eukaryota; Metazoa; Chordata; Mammalia; Primates; Hominidae
Description: processed transcript
Source: RNAcentral
AGAGCCCUGGAUGUCAUUUGGAAAAACACCAGAGACAGACGGCUGGCAGCAGCGGUAAAAUCAGUAAAGUUGGAAGUGGAUGAAGAUAAGAGCACAAAGAGAUCCAAUCUUUCCAACUUGGAAGUGGCAAUUGGUUUGUCUCCUUACACCUUUCCCCAAAAGAGGCUUUUCCAUGUUGCUGGAGAAGAAAACAUCGCCUAGGCGGGUGUGUGCCUGGCAGAACACUGCACUCCAAUCUCCUCGGGCAGCCACAAAAAAAAAAAGGUGGGGUUGACGCCGGGGGGCAGCUCUUCAGUAAGAUGUGACAAUAUGCCAGUUUCACCAAUGAUAAGAGAAGCCUAAGACACCAAAAGUCAGCAUAGGCCACAGGUCAUGUUUGACAGUGCAAAGCUGCAAGGUCCUUCAGACAAAGCAAAUAGGAGAGUGGGUUCCAAAGCCUGCCAACAGGGUCCCGAAAGCUAAAAGGGAAACUUUCCUAAAGAACCCGGGAAACAAUGUAAGGAUGCUAAAUUGGUCAUUUAAGGAUGCCCUCCCUGGUUAGAAGAAACUCCCUU